Molecule: ribosomal RNA, 120 nt
Filed under: uncultured bacterium
Lineage: Bacteria
Description: partial 16S ribosomal RNA
Rfam family: Bacterial small subunit ribosomal RNA
Source: RNAcentral
AAUCAACGCUGGCGGCGUGCCUAACACAUGCAAGUCGAACGCGAAAGUCCCGCAAGGGAUUAGUAGAGUGGCAAACGGGUGAGUAACACGUGGGUGACCUACCUUCGAGUGGGGGAUAAC